UNAUNNNGCGUGGUUGCCUAUACAUGCAAGUCGAGCGAACUGAUUAGAAGCUUGCUUCUAUGACGUUAGCGGCGGACGGGUGAGUAACACGUGGGCAACCUGCCUGUAAGACUGGGAUAACUCCGGGAAACCGGAGCUAAUACCGGAUAACAUUUUCUCUUGCAUAAGAGAAAAUUGAAAGAUGGUUUCGGCUAUCACUUACAGAUGGGCCCGCGGUGCAUUAGCUAGUUGGUGAGGUAACGGCUCACCAAGGCAACGAUGCAUAGCCGACCUGAGAGGGUGAUCGGCCACACUGGGACUGAGACACGGCCCAGACUCCUACGGGAGGCAGCAGUAGGGAAUCUUCCGCAAUGGACGAAAGUCUGACGGAGCAACGCCGCGUGAGUGAUGAAGGCUUUCGGGUCGUAAAACUCUGUUGUUAGGGAAGAACAAGUACAAGAGUAACUGCUUGUACCUUGACGGUACCUAACCAGAAAGCCACGGCUAACUACGUGCCAGCAGCCGCGGUAAUACGUAGGUGGCAAGCGUUAUCCGGAAUUAUUGGGCGUAAAGCGCGCGCAGGCGGUUUCUUUAUUCUGAUGUGAAAACCCACAUUUCAACCCCGUU
This 606-nucleotide ribosomal RNA is filed under the name Bacillus sp. HPCPS6. Its description in RNAcentral is "bacterial SSU rRNA". It matches the Rfam family "Bacterial small subunit ribosomal RNA", at positions 30 to 619 of the family's 1533-position model. The record is from RNAcentral. Lineage: Bacteria; Bacillati; Bacillota; Bacilli; Caryophanales; Bacillaceae.